RNAcentral lists this transfer RNA (72 nucleotides) under Camelus bactrianus (Bactrian camel). It matches the Rfam family "tRNA". From Rfam's summary of the family: Transfer RNA (tRNA) molecules are approximately 80 nucleotides in length. Their secondary structure includes four short double-helical elements and three loops (D, anti-codon, and T loops). Lineage: Eukaryota; Metazoa; Chordata; Mammalia; Artiodactyla; Camelidae. RNAcentral also lists the same sequence under 1 other name. The record is from Rfam by way of RNAcentral.
AGAGCUAUAGCUCAGCGGUGGAGCGCCUGCCUAGCAUGCACAAGGUCCAGGGUUCAAUCCCCAGCAUCUCCA